GGCCCAUGGGGGCUGGGGGCUCCAGCGUGGUCUGACAUGUCCCCCCGCCCCCCAGGCCCGCAGGGCCCCCCCGAGGCCGUGGCCCGGUUCUCCUACGAGGGGCGCUCGUCCCAGGAGCUCUCGUUCCAGCCGGGUGACCGGAUCCGGCUGCUGGCCAAGGCCUCCCCAGACUGGUGGCGUGGGGAGCUGGGGGGGGGCCCGUGGCCUGGUUCCCCACAAGUACAUCAGCCUGAUCCCCAGCACCGGGAAAAGCCGGAGUCGCCGAACCUCGGGGUCGGACGGAGAUGCCGGGUCUCCCCCAGCUGAGCCGACACCAGAGUCAAUCAGCAGCAGGCUGCGGGUGAACUCGGAGGGCAGCCGGGGGCGCCAGCGACCUGGGACCAGCCCCAUCCGCAAACUGGCUUCUCCCUUCAUCGACUCGGGGCGUCUGCCUUUCCCCCUUCAGCCCCCCAGUGCCCCCCGGGCUGUCGACAGGUGAGACCCCCCUCCCCCGGGCAAGAGGGCCCUGGGGAGCCAGCCCCACCCCAGAGGUUGCUGCCCCGACUCUCUCCCUUCUCUCUGCCAACACUGCCUUUCCUCCUCCAGGACGGAGCGGGGGGCUCUGGGGGUUGGCCUCUCCGGCAGAGAGAAACAAGGGGCCCCGGAGAAGCACGUGGAGAUGGAUAAGGUAAGUUUUGGGGGAUGUACCCCAGCCCCCCUUGGGGCUGCUG
Molecule: long non-coding RNA, 710 nt
Filed under: Chrysemys picta bellii (western painted turtle)
Lineage: Eukaryota; Metazoa; Chordata; Testudines; Emydidae
Description: lncRNA (ENSCPBG00000005998.1)
Source: RNAcentral